RNAcentral lists this long non-coding RNA (243 nucleotides) under Lathyrus oleraceus (garden pea). Its description in RNAcentral is "Pisum sativum (pea) long non-coding RNA (PSAT_LNC027687)". The record is from RNAcentral. Lineage: Eukaryota; Viridiplantae; Streptophyta; Magnoliopsida; Fabales; Fabaceae.
AAAAUAAAAAUAAAAAAAUCGACUACAAACUAUGAUCAAUUAUUGCUUUUUACUGCUAAAAUUGAAGAUUUCGCAUAUGAGCCAUAAACAUUCAUUCUCAUUUUUCACUCUCAAACUUGUUAUAUUUCUACCAUGAAUGUCCAAAACAUACUUCUCUUCUUCAUUGUCAACAACAUAUUCAAUUAAUUAAAUUAACAUAAUCAAUAAGUAGUAAAAUUCAUUAAUUAUCAUUACUCUCUCUCU